This 468-nucleotide ribosomal RNA is filed under the name uncultured bacterium. RNAcentral's name for it is "partial 16S ribosomal RNA". It matches the Rfam family "Bacterial small subunit ribosomal RNA", at positions 28 to 507 of the family's 1533-position model. The record is from RNAcentral.
GACGAACGCUGGCGGCGUGCUUAACACAUGCAAGUCGAACGGAAAGGCCCUGCUUUUGUGGGGUGCUCGAGUGGCGAACGGGUGAGUAACACGUGAGUAACCUGCCCUUGACUUUGGGAUAACUUCAGGAAACUGGGGCUAAUACCGGAUAGGAGCUCCUGCUGCAUGGUGGGGGUUGGAAAGUUUCGGCGGUUGGGGAUGGACUCGCGGCUUAUCAGCUUGUUGGUGGGGUAGUGGCUUACCAAGGCUUUGACGGGUAGCCGGCCUGAGAGGGUGACCGGCAAAAAUGGGACUGAGAUACGGCCCAGAAGCCUACGGGAGGCAGCAGUGGGGAAUAUUGAACAAUGGGCGGAAGGCUGAUGAAGCAAAGCAGCGGGCGGGAUGACGGCCUUCGGGUUGUAAAACGCUUUCGCAUGUGACGAAGCGUGAGUGACGGUAAUGGGUAAAGAAGCACCGGCUAACUACGUG